UGUAAUUACUGAUGCUAUCGCUUUAAUGUAUGUUAAAGAGGAAAGUCCGGACACCAUAGAGCGGCAUAAUGGAUAACAUCCAUCUAUCGUGAGAUAUGGACUAGUGCAACAGAAAGCAAGUACAGUUCGGCUGUAGUGAAAUCAGGUAUACUCUAUGCGGUGCAAUACCAUGUAUAUCAGAACAUAAAGAUUGCUCGUCUUUUUCUGAGGGGUAGGUAGCUUGAAAUAAUAGGUAACUAUUAUUCUAGAUAAAUGAUGGCACUCAAAUAUGAGAACAGGAUCCGGCUUAUGUGUAAUUACAGUUA
RNAcentral lists this RNase P RNA (305 nucleotides) under Flavobacteriales bacterium. RNAcentral's name for it is "RNase P RNA component class A". It matches the Rfam family "Bacterial RNase P class A". Rfam says of the family: Ribonuclease P (RNase P) is a ubiquitous endoribonuclease, found in archaea, bacteria and eukarya as well as chloroplasts and mitochondria. Its best characterised activity is the generation of mature 5'-ends of tRNAs by cleaving the 5'-leader elements of precursor-tRNAs. The record is from RNAcentral. Lineage: Bacteria; Pseudomonadati; Bacteroidota; Flavobacteriia; Flavobacteriales.